GAUGAAGAACGUAGCGAAAUGCGAUACUUGGUGUGAAUUGCAGAAUCCCGUGAACCAUCGAGUCUUUGAACGCAAGUUGCGCCCGAAGCCAUUAGGCCGAGGGCACGCCUGCCUGGGCGUCACACGUCGUUGCCCCCCCAUCUACUCCUUCGGGAUUGCGGGGGGCGGAUGAUGGCCUCUCGUGCGCCUCGUCGCGCGGUUGGCCUAAAUGCCAAGUCCUCGGCGACGCACGCCACGACAAUCGGUGGUUGCGAAACCUCGGUUGCCUGUCGUGUGCGGUCGUCGCGCAUCGAGGGCUCGAAAAAAUUGCCGGGCUUCGGCUCGACUUUCAACGCGACCCCUGGUCAGGCGGGGUUACCCGCUGAAUUUAAGCAUAUCAAUAAGCGGAGGA
RNAcentral lists this unclassified non-coding RNA (391 nucleotides) under soil metagenome. RNAcentral's name for it is "partial contains 5.8S ribosomal RNA, internal transcribed spacer 2, and large subunit ribosomal RNA". The stretch from base 1 to 122 matches the Rfam family "5.8S ribosomal RNA", at positions 35 to 154 of the family's 154-position model. The record is from RNAcentral.